Molecule: unclassified non-coding RNA, 21 nt
Filed under: Mus musculus (house mouse)
Lineage: Eukaryota; Metazoa; Chordata; Mammalia; Rodentia; Muridae
Description: oocyte_clustered_small_RNA26
Source: RNAcentral
AGAUCAUAAACUUAGGACCCA